GUAGGUGGCAAGCGUUGUCCGGAAUUAUUGGGCGUAAAGCGCGCGCAGGUGGUUCUUUAAGUCUGAUGUGAAAGCCCCCGGCUCAACCGGGGAGGGUCAUUGGAAACUGGGGAACUUGAGUGCAGGAGAGGAAAGUGGAAUUCCACGUGUAGCGGUGAAAUGCGUAGAUAUGUGGAGGAACACCAGUGGCGAAGGCGACUUUCUGGCCUGUAACUGACACUGAGGCGCGAAGCGUGGGGAGCAAACAGGGAUUAGAUACCCUGGUAGUCCACGCCGUAAACGAUGAGUGCUAAGUGUUGGGGGGGUUUCCCGCCCCUCAGUGCUGCAGCUAACGCAUUAAGCACUCCGCCUGGGGAUACGGUCGCAAGACUG
RNAcentral lists this ribosomal RNA (372 nucleotides) under uncultured organism. Its description in RNAcentral is "partial 16S ribosomal RNA". It matches the Rfam family "Bacterial small subunit ribosomal RNA", at positions 527 to 896 of the family's 1533-position model. The record is from RNAcentral.